RNAcentral lists this long non-coding RNA (2706 nucleotides) under Sorghum bicolor (sorghum). RNAcentral's name for it is "long non-coding RNA (SBIC_LNC011464)". Lineage: Eukaryota; Viridiplantae; Streptophyta; Magnoliopsida; Poales; Poaceae. The record is from RNAcentral.
GUUCCCUGCUGGACGUUGCAGAUGGGGUAGUCAUGGGGGCAGCAGCUGUAGUGAUCGUCACAGCAGGUGGCGCCCUCGAGCGGGCAGCAGCCCCAGGCGAAGCAGUACUUGCCAUACUCGUAGAUGCAGCAGCAGGUGGUGCUCUCAGGGCACGAGUAGUAGUUGUCGCAGACGCUGGGCUCUGGGGUGGGGGACGGCGGAGUCGGGCCAGGGUUCGGGGGGUUGGCGCCCUCCUUCAGGGGGUACGAUGGCUCAACGGCGAUACCGCACUUGCCGCUGGAGUCCUUGAUGUUGCGCUCCAUCCUGAUGUAACCGGACUCGCCCCAGCUGCUGCCCCAUGAGUUCUUAACGAUCCAGUAGUCCUUUCCAUUCUCUGUGCCAUAGCCGACGGCCGUGACACCAUGGUCCAACGCUGUUCCACACUUUCCAGUGAAGAUACCCUGAGACCAGGAAAUGUUAGUCAUCAGUACAAGACAGCUGAUUCAUGGAGUUGACACUAAUAGUAACAACAACGAACGAUGAGAUAAAAAAACAAGAUGGAGUAGGUGUAGGUAUCUGCGAAAUUGUGGACAAUGCAUUUGUCUGAAAAUGCCUAUUUAACUUUAUGACAAGGGAAAACAUUUUCAGGAUCUUCUGCCCAGCUUUUGAUGGAAGUGGAUGAUAGCUGACACCACUCUCUUACCAAAGCACAUCUUUCCAAAAGCCCUCACAAAAACACUUCAAAACUGUGUACCAUUAAAAAUGCUUCGCAGGGAACCAGCCAAGGAGGGGCAGUAUAGUCUUCGACAAAAAUAAAGCAGCAUGAUUCGUGCAAAGUGGUGGGGCACUGAAGCACUAUUGUAUUGCAUUGCUAUUAUGUAGUCUGGAUUUAGUAAACUAAGUCAGGGGUAUGAACAAGGUAUUAUAAUUGAUGUAACACUUGCAACUUGCAGAGUGACAGCAGAAUCAUUCCUUGUAGAGAAAAUAAUCUUGAGCAAAGCGAUAUGAUGGGGACAAUUUUAAAGCAAUUAGGUGACUCAACCUAACAUGUGCAUGUCUUGUUCAAGGCAGAUGGUCUUUCUUUUACGGUCAUGGAGAUACCAUCAACUAAUCGCUACCUACUGAUAGUCAAAUACUAGAUGAUUCCAUAAAUUCAUCUCUGAAUUUAACCAAAUGGUCCACAGAUGAAUCCAGCAGCAAGGUUAGUGUCAAUUACCGAGCUGUAGAGCUGAAAUGCAUUGCCACCAGCCUCAAUAGCAACACUGACGGGCUGGUUUGCAACUGCUUUCUGCAGACUCUUCUCACUGUUCGCUGGUACAUCUUCAUAGCUGUCGAUAGUAACAACCUUCGCGUUUUUCUGCAAUGAACCCAACGCACAAAACCAGCAGUAAGAGAAAAAAUGACGCUGGUAUUUGGAAAAUCAAGGGAAACCAUGAAGCGAAAAAUACCUUGUUGGCAUCACACCGGCCAUCUGUGCCCUUGUAAGGGUAAUCAGACUCUGUGUCGAUUCCACCAUUGUUGAUGAUGAACUCAAACGCAUAGUCCAUCAGACCUCCAUUGCACCCCUGGUUGUAUGAAGUGUCACAGUCGACAAGCUCCUGCUCAGACAAGGAGAUCAAGUCGCCCGUAACAAUCUGGUUGAUGCCUUCCACAGCUGCUAUUGUUGAGAAAGCCCAGCAACUCCCUGGAAGAGAUAAACAUAGAUUAGAUUUCAAUGUCAAUAUGUCAUCAGCAUUAUUGUUUAAUCCUGCACGUCAAUUUAAAAAAGGCAGCCAGCCAAGUAACAACACAGAGUUAUAAAAUCAAAAGAGUGAAAGCUACCCACAAUAGAGUGGAAAAUAUCUUAUGGGCGUAGCAUAUUUUUAUUUAAGAGAAGAAAUUUGUGGUGAUGAAUAGGAUGCCGAGGGAGACAGGCGACCAAUAGGAACGUGAAACGGCCACAAGAGCCGUGAUGAAAGUCGUUUCCAAGGCUAAUAUCUGGAAUCAUGAAGUGAGCUUGUCCAGAGGAGAAAAGGAGCAUAUUGGUCCAGCCACCUUGUCAGCUAGACAGCGACUGCUAUUAGUGUGGAGUAAUAUUUUUUCUUGGUUGCACCUUCCAGCAGGGUCACUGCCUCACUGGAGUUCACAAGGAGCAAGGUGAUGUCCAUGUUCGAUGAACCUACUUAACAUAGUAUAUGUCGCCUUUCAUGCAAGACAAUACAGAUCAAAUACACGAAUAAUUUUUACACCUACUGUAUCGAAAAUCAUUGCAGUAAUAUUUGUCACAUAAAACAAGACACGGGACCAAGUUAAACAAAUCCCAUAAAAUUAGCUCUAGAACCGAAACAAAGCUGUAACCAAACAGAAUAAUUUUAUUUGAAGUAAUUGUUAGCGUGUCUAUCUAUGGACUUCGAAUUCAAAAGCGUACUAAUCUAUAUGCGUGCCAUCUCUGCAACCUCCCACCCAUUAUAAGGCACGACUAACGAAUUGCAGAAGCAGAAGCUUGCCGCUUAGCGUUGACCUUCAGGUAGAACCGUAGAAGACACAAAUCCCCUACUCCCUUUUUUUUCCUCAUGUGGAUAACAAUAAAAACUACCUACUGCAAGUUGCGGAUGAACAGACUUUACAGUUUUUUCGGGCGAAACAUAUAGAAAACAUGCCCGAACAACUUACCCAUGUUCUAUCUAGAAUUAUUAAGCAGGUCAGCUUUCAACCGCAGGAGAGCAAUAAAAAAAAGGCAGGGAGGAG